This 33-nucleotide transfer RNA is filed under the name Filipendula vulgaris. RNAcentral describes it as "partial tRNA-Leu". The record is from RNAcentral. Lineage: Eukaryota; Viridiplantae; Streptophyta; Magnoliopsida; Rosales; Rosaceae.
AAAAUCCGUCGACUUUUGAAAUCGUGAGGGUUC